UGGGGAAUAUUGGACAAUGGGCGCAAGCCUGAUCCAGCCAUGCCGCGUGGAUGAAGAAGGCCCUAGGGUUGUAAAGUCCUUUCGUUGGUGAAGAUAAUGACGGUAACCAAAGAAGAAGCCCCGGCUAAUUUCGUGCCAGCAGCCGCGGUAAUACGAAAGGGGCUAGCGUUGUUCGGAAUUACUGGGCGUAAAGCGCACGUAGGCGGCCUUGUAAGUUGGGGGUGAAAUCCCGGAGCUCAACUCCGGAACUGCCUCCAAAACUACAAAGCUAGAGGAUGCGAGAGGAUAGUGGAAUUCCGAGUGUAGAGGUGAAAUUCGUAGAUAUUCGGAAGAACACCAGUGGCGAAGGCGACUGUCUGGCGCAUAUCUGACGCUGAGGUGCGAAAGCGUGGGGAGCAAACAGGAUUAGAUACCCCCGUAGUCC
RNAcentral lists this ribosomal RNA (424 nucleotides) under uncultured prokaryote. RNAcentral's name for it is "bacterial SSU rRNA". It matches the Rfam family "Bacterial small subunit ribosomal RNA", at positions 355 to 796 of the family's 1533-position model. The record is from RNAcentral.